RNAcentral lists this ribosomal RNA (301 nucleotides) under uncultured bacterium. RNAcentral describes it as "partial 16S ribosomal RNA". It matches the Rfam family "Bacterial small subunit ribosomal RNA", at positions 509 to 808 of the family's 1533-position model. The record is from RNAcentral.
CAGUCGCCGCGGGAAUACGAAGGGUGCAAGCGUUAAUCGGAAUUACUGGGCGUAAAGCGCGCGUAGGUGGUUUGGUAAGAUGGAUGUGAAAUCCCCGGGCUCAACCUGGGAACUGCAUCCAUAACUGCCUGACUAGAGUACGGUAGAGGGUGGUGGAAUUUCCUGUGUAGCGGUGAAAUGCGUAGAUAUAGGAAGGAACACCAGUGGCGAAGGCGACCACCUGGACUGAUACUGACACUGAGGUGCGAAAGCGUGGGGAGCAAACAGGAUUAGAUACCCCCUAGUCCCUGUCUCUUAUACA